AUGGCUCGUCAAUGCUCUAGAGUGGACUGGUUAAAGGAGGGUGACCAUAACACUGUUUUUUUCCAUGCUCGAGCUUCUGCACGUAGAAGAACAAAUAGAAUUUCUUUGCUUAAACGCGCAGAUGGUUCAAUUUGUGAGGAUCUCCCUGAGACUAGAAAUAUGAUCAAGAAUUUCUAUGCUGAUUUAUUCUCCUCGGAGGACUGUUCCUAUAUGCCUUGGGUUCUGAAUGCCGUACAUUGUAAAGUCACAGAUGACAUGAAUUCAGAAUUGUGUAAACUUAUACCAAUGAAGAAAUCAGAAAAGCUCUAUUUUCAGGUGGGACUGGCGGUACCUGAUGGGGUUUAUUCUAUCAAACACAUUGGGAUUUUUUUGCGUGAUGAAAUUUGUGAUGCAGUUCAUUGCUUUCUGAAUGGUGCGGAGGUUCCACUUUGGUUUUGUGAUUCCACAAUUGUCCUUAUACCAAAGGUAUCAAAACCUGAUCAUCUAACCAACUUCCGCCCUACCAUCCUUUGCAACGUUCUAUACAAAAUAGCUUUCAAGGUCCUUGCUAACAGGUUGAAAGUUUGUUUGCCUGUUAUUGUUUUUGAAUGUCAAAGUGCUUUUGUCCCGGGACGCCUUAUUACUGAUAAUGCACUGAUUGCUUUUGAAUGCCUGCACACAAUCAGAAGACAACGUACCAAGAAACCAUACUUUGCUCUUAAGAUUAACAUGAUAAAGGCGUAUGACAGGGUGAAGUGGUCUUGUCUUAAGGGCUGUUUGACCAAACUUGGUUUUGCUGACACAUGGAUUAAGACUGUUAUGAGGUGUGUAACUGAGGUACGUUAUUCGGUCAGGGUCAAUGGAGAAUUGACAUAUCCUGUGAUACCGACUCGUGGCAUUCGACAAGUUCACCCCAUCAGACUAUACUUAUUUCUUCUUUGUACGGAGGGUCUCUCUUGCUUGCUUCUAAAUAAGGAAGCUGGAGGUGAUUAA
Molecule: ribosomal RNA, 972 nt
Filed under: Triticum aestivum (bread wheat)
Lineage: Eukaryota; Viridiplantae; Streptophyta; Magnoliopsida; Poales; Poaceae
Description: partial small subunit ribosomal RNA
Source: RNAcentral